RNAcentral lists this ribosomal RNA (551 nucleotides) under Salmonella enterica subsp. enterica serovar Panama. RNAcentral describes it as "bacterial SSU rRNA". It matches the Rfam family "Bacterial small subunit ribosomal RNA", at positions 1 to 541 of the family's 1533-position model. The record is from RNAcentral. Lineage: Bacteria; Pseudomonadati; Pseudomonadota; Gammaproteobacteria; Enterobacterales; Enterobacteriaceae.
AAAUUGAAGAGUUUGAUCAUGGCUCAGAUUGAACGCUGGCGGCAGGCCUAACACAUGCAAGUCGAACGGUAACAGGAAGCAGCUUGCUGCUUUGCUGACGAGUGGCGGACGGGUGAGUAAUGUCUGGGAAACUGCCUGAUGGAGGGGGAUAACUACUGGAAACGGUGGCUAAUACCGCAUAACGUCGCAAGACCAAAGAGGGGGACCUUCGGGCCUCUUGCCAUCAGAUGUGCCCAGAUGGGAUUAGCUUGUUGGUGAGGUAACGGCUCACCAAGGCGACGAUCCCUAGCUGGUCUGAGAGGAUGACCAGCCACACUGGAACUGAGACACGGUCCAGACUCCUACGGGAGGCAGCAGUGGGGAAUAUUGCACAAUGGGCGCAAGCCUGAUGCAGCCAUGCCGCGUGUAUGAAGAAGGCCUUCGGGUUGUAAAGUACUUUCAGCGGGGAGGAAGGUGUUGUGGUUAAUAACCGCAGCAAUUGACGUUACCCGCAGAAGAAGCACCGGCUAACUCCGUGCCAGCAGCCGCGGUAAUACGGAGGGUGCAAGCGU